AUUGAACGCUGGCGGCAUGCCUAACACAUGCAAGUCGAACGAGACCUUCGGGUCUAGUGGCGCACGGGUGCGUAACGCGUGGGAAUCUGCCCUUGGGUUCGGAAUAACUUCGGGAAACUGAAGCUAAUACCGGAUGAUGACGUAAGUCCAAAGAUUUAUCGCCCAAGGAUGAGCCCGCGUAGGAUUAGCUAGUUGGUGAGGUAAAGGCUCACCAAGGCGACGAUCCUUAGCUGGUCUGAGAGGAUGACCAGCCACACUGGGACUGAGACACGGCCCAGACUCCUACGGGAGGCAGCAGUGGGGAAUUUUGGACAAUGGGCGCAAGCCUGAUCCAGCAAUGCCGCGUGCAGGAUGAAGG
Molecule: ribosomal RNA, 358 nt
Filed under: uncultured bacterium
Lineage: Bacteria
Description: bacterial SSU rRNA
Rfam family: Bacterial small subunit ribosomal RNA
Source: RNAcentral